UCUAAUUUUUUUUUCAUAGAAAUUCGACAUAGCCAAGCUGAACUGUAUUUUAAUGGAAAUGGCUGGCAGCAAUUUUUCCAACCAGUUGCGACGCAUAAUUGCGAACGGGCUCCUUUCAGUUAGCUGGAAAAUUAGAUUAUCCUCACCGCGCGGACACAGCACAAAGGAUGCCCGAGGAACGGGUCCAGAAACCGAGAUACACAGCCCAUACUGUGUCAUCCUAACUGCGGAGUGGAAUUCCGUGAAAUCCCAAUUCAAGUGAGUGGAAGAGGUGGAAGAGAGAGGAGCAGCUGAAGACACAGUUCGCCGGAACUGGCUAUAAAGCAGAAGGAGAGGAGGAGGAGGCAAAGAGAGGAUUCCGACAGGCAACAAGAAACCCAAAGCGAGACUCAAAAAACCAGACGCAUGCCCUUUGUGCCCCUGUGUGCGUGAGCCUCUCUGCCCGCCAGUGUGUGUGUGUAUGUGGAGUUCUUAAGUGGCUACCACACUGUCACCCCUCGUCCAUUUAUUUUGUUUUUUUUUUUCGGGGGGGGGGCAAUGGCAAUCACAACAACAGUGUUCCCAGAAAUUGCUUCCAAUUUUAUUUGGCCAAACGAGAUUUCGCGGAAUAGCUCAAAGCUCUAUUGAUAGUCAAAGGAGAACGUUUUUGGGGAAAGGUAGCAAUAGCCAAGCAUAGAUAUGCCAAAUACAGACACACGCACACACAGACACGGCCAUAAUAGAGAAUGCAAAGCGAAAUGCAGCAGUGUUUUUUGUUUUUGGUCAAAGCCUGGCUGGUGAAGCAAAAGCAACAACACUAGCGCACUGGGGCCCCACAAACACACACACACACACAGAAAGCUUGUUCCCGUGUAUUGGUGGUGGAGGCAUCUGCAGAAAGCCUUUUGCGCACUCAUCACAUUUUCGUGGAAAUCAAACCGCCAAAGGAGCUCCGAAAAGCCGUCGUAGUUGUUGUUCUUGCCAUUUACCUUGUAAAAGGAGUGCCAUUGUGGCCGUUUGUCCUUGUAUUCCGCCGCGAUUUGCUGAAGGGCCGACAGCCCACUCGUUUUCUGCUCGCUCAUUGUGCACACUUUGCU
This is a long non-coding RNA of Drosophila gunungcola (fruit fly), 1076 nucleotides long. RefSeq lists it as uncharacterized. The transcript has 3 exons. The record is from RefSeq and is a predicted model, not a curated record. NCBI's taxonomy places the organism in Eukaryota, Metazoa, Arthropoda, Insecta, Diptera, Drosophilidae.